UUUCGAUGCCUGGCUUAAACACCUCCC
RNAcentral lists this non-coding RNA (27 nucleotides) under Mus musculus (house mouse). Lineage: Eukaryota; Metazoa; Chordata; Mammalia; Rodentia; Muridae. The record is from RNAcentral.